UCGCGGUUGAGGAGGCGCAGGGACCAGGGGCCAGUAGUGACCGUAAACACGAGCCCCGGCCGUGUCCAGUCCCACUUGGUAGCCCGCAUGGCUGCCUAGCGGAGUGUGACAAGUUUUCAACUUGGGUGCACACACUGUCCCCGGAAUCCCGCGUUCCAGGGAGGAAGCGCCUUUGACAGCGCGCGCCGGUGCGUGGGGCCCGACGACGUGGGCCCGGGGAUGCGGACCUGGCGGAGAUGCGCGUUGGCUUCGAUUGUAGGCCAUUCCUUUUAGGAGCUGAGAAAGGAUCCAUUUUUACAGCAUUCUCGACCUGUGAUUCUUGGUGGGAGAAACUGUAGUUAUGUGGAUAAAAAUACAGUUAGCAAAAUAAAAAUGACAAUUUUACA
Molecule: non-coding RNA, 386 nt
Filed under: Pongo abelii (Sumatran orangutan)
Lineage: Eukaryota; Metazoa; Chordata; Mammalia; Primates; Hominidae
Source: RNAcentral